This 83-nucleotide transfer RNA is filed under the name Paenibacillus flagellatus. It matches the Rfam family "tRNA". Rfam says of the family: Transfer RNA (tRNA) molecules are approximately 80 nucleotides in length. Their secondary structure includes four short double-helical elements and three loops (D, anti-codon, and T loops). Lineage: Bacteria; Bacillati; Bacillota; Bacilli; Caryophanales; Paenibacillaceae. The record is from Rfam by way of RNAcentral. RNAcentral also lists the same sequence under 4 other names.
GCCGGGGUGGCGGAAUGGCAGACGCACAGGACUUAAAAUCCUGCGGGGGCAACCCCGUACGAGUUCGAGUCUCGUCCUCGGCA